UGCCUACGGGACGCAGCAGUGAGGAAUAUUGGUCAAUGGCCGGAAGGCUGAACCAGCCAUGCCGCGUGAAGGUCAGUGCCCUAUGGGCGUUAAACUUCUUUUGUGCGGGAGCAAUAAUGGUCACGUGUGGCCAGACGAGAGUACCGUACGAAUAAGCAUCGGCUAACUCCGUGCCAGCAGCCGCGGUAAUACGGGGGAUGCAAGCGUUAUCCGGAUUUAUUGGGCGUAAAGCGGGUGCAGGCGGUUCAAUAAGUCUGAUGUGAAAGCCUUCGGCUCAACCGGGGAAUUGCAUCAGCAA
RNAcentral lists this ribosomal RNA (298 nucleotides) under uncultured bacterium. RNAcentral describes it as "partial 16S ribosomal RNA". It matches the Rfam family "Bacterial small subunit ribosomal RNA", at positions 335 to 632 of the family's 1533-position model. The record is from RNAcentral.